This 279-nucleotide ribosomal RNA is filed under the name uncultured bacterium. RNAcentral's name for it is "partial 16S ribosomal RNA". It matches the Rfam family "Bacterial small subunit ribosomal RNA", at positions 506 to 784 of the family's 1533-position model. The record is from RNAcentral.
UGCCAGCCGCCGCGGUAAUACGAAGGGAACUAGCGUUGUUCGGAUUUACUGGGCGUAAAGAGCAUGUAGGCGGAUUGGUCAGUUGGAGGUGAAAUCCCAGAGCUCAACUCUGGAGCUGCCUUCAAUACUGCCAAUCUAGAAUCUGUAAGGGGGUGGUGGAAUUCCGAGUGUAGAGGUGAAAUUCGUAGAUAUUCGGAGGAACACCAGUGGCGAAGGCGACCACCUGGUACAGUAUUGACGCUGAGAUGCGAAAGCGUGGGGAGCAAACAGGAUUAGAUA